UGAGGGUUCAGAUUGUCUAGAAGCCAAAGAAAAAGUCCAUGUGAUUGGAAAUCGGCUCAAGCUUCUCCUGAAGGAGGUCAGCCGUCAUAUCAAGGAUCUGGAGAAGCUACUAGGCAUGUCAAGCAGUCAGCAGGAUUUGUCUUCAUGGUCUUCUGCAGAUGAGGUGGACACGUCGGGGUCAGUGAGUCCUACAUCAGGAAGAAGUACCCCAAACAGACAGAAAUCGGUCCACAAAAGGUGGCUCCGAUUCCUCCCUUUCUGAAACCAGGCCAGCACGGGCAGGUCGAGAUUUCUUGUUCCGGGUCCUCAGGGCAGCUCUUCCGAUUCAGCUGCUCCUACUACUCCUUAUCGGACUCACCUCCCGUGUACCCAUAUCGGAAGAAGACUACAGCUGUGCCCUCUCCAACAACUUUGCCAGAUCGUUCCAUCCCAUGCUCAGAUAUACCAACGGUCCUCCUCCCCUCUGAAGCAAGCACACGUGCAGGCAGCAAGAGGGGAAGCAGGUCCAAAGCAACCCCAGGCUGUCAGAGAAGGUGUGAUCUUGGCAGAGGUCAUCAUAUGGCAGCUUCCGUUCUCCCUAACCCGUGUAUAAAAGAAGGAAAAAAAAAGCCUUUGGACAUGGACAGUAAACAACAGGAGGCAAACAAACAUGUAAUUGGUACAGUGUCAUUUGACACUCUGAGCCUUAAUACUAAAGAAAUUAGGGACAUAUAGGGUUCCCUAGACCCAUGAAGUCUGGGCCUUUGGCGUAGCCAAUGGCUCUCCCUACUGGGCCAUCUGGGCAGUUUUCCUAUGGUGCUGCUCGAUCAACCCGAAAGCCCCUUUCCCACGCACCAUGUCAGUAUCAUACAAUCCACCAACCCACACCUGCUGGAGGGGUUAGGACCUCCUCACCAUUUUUAGGAGUUUACGUGGCAGCUUCCUUUGUACCUUGUUUUCUUUGGGGCAUGAU
This 952-nucleotide long non-coding RNA is filed under the name Rattus norvegicus (Norway rat). RNAcentral's name for it is "long non-coding RNA NONRATT002098". The record is from RNAcentral. Lineage: Eukaryota; Metazoa; Chordata; Mammalia; Rodentia; Muridae.